UACGUAGGGGGCAAGCGUUGUCCGGAUUUAUUGGGCGUAAAGAGCGUGUAGGCGGCUUUGCAAGUCCGUUGUGAAAACUCGAGGCUCAACCUCGAGACGCCGGUGGAAACUGCAAAGCUAGAGUCCGGAAGAGGAGAGUGGAAUUCCCAGUGUAGAGGUGAAAUUCGUAGAUAUUGGGAAGAACACCGGUGGCGAAGGCGGCUCUCUGGACCGAGACUGACGCUGAGGCGCGAAAGCGUGGGGAGCAAACAGG
RNAcentral lists this ribosomal RNA (253 nucleotides) under uncultured bacterium. RNAcentral describes it as "partial 16S ribosomal RNA". It matches the Rfam family "Bacterial small subunit ribosomal RNA", at positions 524 to 776 of the family's 1533-position model. The record is from RNAcentral.